GACGAACGCUGGCGGCGUGCUUAACACAUGCAAGUCGAACGGAGUGGCGAACGGGUGAGUAACACGUGGGUGAUCUGCCUUGCACUUCGGGAUAAGCUUGGGAAACUGGGUCUAAUACCGGAUAGUGCAAGAUGAGCUCGCGGCCUAGCAGCUUGUGGGUGGGGUAAUGGCCUACCAAGGCGUGGUCGGGUCGCCGGCCUGAGAGGGUGGACGGCCACAUUGGGACUGAGAUACGGCCCAGACUCAUACGGGCGGCAUGAGGGGGGAAUAUUGCACAAUGGGCGGCAGGCGGAUUCAGGGACGUCGCGUGGGGGAGGAAGGCCUUCGGGGUGUAAACGCCUUUCGACAGGGACGCGGUACCUGUAUAGGAAGCAACGGCUAACUACGUGCCAGCAGCCGCGGUAAUUC
RNAcentral lists this ribosomal RNA (408 nucleotides) under uncultured bacterium. RNAcentral's name for it is "partial 16S ribosomal RNA". It matches the Rfam family "Bacterial small subunit ribosomal RNA", at positions 28 to 526 of the family's 1533-position model. The record is from RNAcentral.